This 959-nucleotide long non-coding RNA is filed under the name Homo sapiens (human). Its description in RNAcentral is "HSALNT0301438". Lineage: Eukaryota; Metazoa; Chordata; Mammalia; Primates; Hominidae. The record is from RNAcentral.
GCGGCCAAUGUAGUCAGUCUGGGGACCCACCUCCCCCUUUCAGCUGAGCGCACACAACACAGCAUCCACGUGAGUCAGCUUCUUAAAGGCGAAGGCUUGGCCUGUCUAAUUGCGGCAGCUGCGAGACAUCGCACGUCAUUAGCGUCACCAGGUAGCGGCUGGAGCCGAGCUUCCUGAUACCUAGUGAGCCGCGGUGAUGACAAAUGAAAACAAUAAGCUGUUUCCUAGACAAACAGCUGCCUAGUUUCGCUCUGUCGCCCAGGCUGGAGUGCAGUGGCACAAUCUCGGUUCACUGCAACCUCUGCCUCCCGGGUUCAAGCAGUUCUCUUGCCUCAGCCUCCCAAGUAACUGGUACUACAGAGAAUUGAUACAAAAAAUGAUCAUGUGAAGAAUUUGCAUCUUCUGCAGAACUACCGGUAUCAGUCAGCAGUAGGAGAUUGUAUAAAUUCAGCCUGAGAUUCCAGAAUAUUCUGUGUAUUGACCACCACAGCAAGAAGAAAAAGUCCAUGUAGGACUGAAAUCUGUGGUACUUCUGCGGUGGCACUUCUUACACAAGUGAGAAGCAGCGACACCGUGACACCUGCACGCCGGAGCCCUGCGUUAGUGAGAAGCAGCGACACCGUGACACCUGCACGCCGGAGCCCUGCGUUAGUGAGAAGCAGCGACACCGUGACACCUGCACGCCGGAGCCCUGCGUUAGGCUGGGUAAGGGCGGGGACCUGGGCAUCACACAGUCUUAGAUGUGGGCCUGCCUCCAACAGCUCCCUCCUGGGUGUGAUGCUGAAGGGGGUCCUUGACACCUCUGAAGUCUCAGUCUCCUCAAGGUCACACCCAGCUUAUAGGAUUGUGCUUCUGUGGAUUAAACAAGACACAGCAGUCCUCCCUUAUCCAUGGUUCUGUUUUCCUUGGCCAAAAAUAUUAAAUAGAAAAUUCCAGAAAUAAACAAUUUAUGUUUUAAA